This 2787-nucleotide ribosomal RNA is filed under the name Escherichia coli. Its description in RNAcentral is "bacterial LSU rRNA". It matches the Rfam family "Bacterial large subunit ribosomal RNA". RNAcentral also lists the same sequence under 1 other name. Lineage: Bacteria; Pseudomonadati; Pseudomonadota; Gammaproteobacteria; Enterobacterales; Enterobacteriaceae. The record is from RNAcentral.
AGCGUACACGGUGGAUGCCCUGGCAGUCAGAGGCGAUGAAGGACGUGCUAAUCUGCGAUAAGCGUCGGUAAGGUGAUAUGAACCGUUAUAACCGGCGAUUUCCGAAUGGGGAAACCCAGUGUGUUUCGACACACUAUCAUUAACUGAAUCCAUAGGUUAAUGAGGCGAACCGGGGGAACUGAAACAUCUAAGUACCCCGAGGAAAAGAAAUCAACCGAGAUUCCCCCAGUAGCGGCGAGCGAACGGGGAGCAGCCCAGAGCCUGAAUCAGUGUGUGUGUUAGUGGAAGCGUCUGGAAAGGCGCGCGAUACAGGGUGACAGCCCCGUACACAAAAAUGCACAUAUUGUGAGCUCGAUGAGUAGGGCGGGACACGUGGUAUCCUGUCUGAAUAUGGGGGGACCAUCCUCCAAGGCUAAAUACUCCUGACUGACCGAUAGUGAACCAGUACCGUGAGGGAAAGGCGAAAAGAACCCCGGCGAGGGGAGUGAAAAAGAACCUGAAACCGUGUACGUACAAGCAGUGGGAGCACGCUUAGGCGUGUGACUGCGUACCUUUUGUAUAAUGGGUCAGCGACUUAUAUUCUGUAGCAAGGUUAACCGAAUAGGGGAGCCGAAGGGAAACCGAGUCUUAACUGGGCGUUAAGUUGCAGGGUAUAGACCCGAAACCCGGUGAUCUAGCCAUGGGCAGGUUGAAGGUUGGGUAACACUAACUGGAGGACCGAACCGACUAAUGUUGAAAAAUUAGCGGAUGACUUGUGGCUGGGGGUGAAAGGCCAAUCAAACCGGGAGAUAGCUGGUUCUCCCCGAAAGCUAUUUAGGUAGCGCCUCGUGAAUUCAUCUCCGGGGGUAGAGCACUGUUUCGGCAAGGGGGUCAUCCCGACUUACCAACCCGAUGCAAACUGCGAAUACCGGAGAAUGUUAUCACGGGAGACACACGGCGGGUGCUAACGUCCGUCGUGAAGAGGGAAACAACCCAGACCGCCAGCUAAGGUCCCAAAGUCAUGGUUAAGUGGGAAACGAUGUGGGAAGGCCCAGACAGCCAGGAUGUUGGCUUAGAAGCAGCCAUCAUUUAAAGAAAGCGUAAUAGCUCACUGGUCGAGUCGGCCUGCGCGGAAGAUGUAACGGGGCUAAACCAUGCACCGAAGCUGCGGCAGCGACGCUUAUGCGUUGUUGGGUAGGGGAGCGUUCUGUAAGCCUGUGAAGGUGUGCUGUGAGGCAUGCUGGAGGUAUCAGAAGUGCGAAUGCUGACAUAAGUAACGAUAAAGCGGGUGAAAAGCCCGCUCGCCGGAAGACCAAGGGUUCCUGUCCAACGUUAAUCGGGGCAGGGUGAGUCGACCCCUAAGGCGAGGCCGAAAGGCGUAGUCGAUGGGAAACAGGUUAAUAUUCCUGUACUUGGUGUUACUGCGAAGGGGGGACGGAGAAGGCUAUGUUGGCCGGGCGACGGUUGUCCCGGUUUAAGCGUGUAGGCUGGUUUUCCAGGCAAAUCCGGAAAAUCAAGGCUGAGGCGUGAUGACGAGGCACUACGGUGCUGAAGCAACAAAUGCCCUGCUUCCAGGAAAAGCCUCUAAGCAUCAGGUAACAUCAAAUCGUACCCCAAACCGACACAGGUGGUCAGGUAGAGAAUACCAAGGCGCUUGAGAGAACUCGGGUGAAGGAACUAGGCAAAAUGGUGCCGUAACUUCGGGAGAAGGCACGCUGAUAUGUAGGUGAAGCGACUUGCUCGUGGAGCUGAAAUCAGUCGAAGAUACCAGCUGGCUGCAACUGUUUAUUAAAAACACAGCACUGUGCAAACACGAAAGUGGACGUAUACGGUGUGACGCCUGCCCGGUGCCGGAAGGUUAAUUGAUGGGGUCAGCGCAAGCGAAGCUCUUGAUCGAAGCCCCGGUAAACGGCGGCCGUAACUAUAACGGUCCUAAGGUAGCGAAAUUCCUUGUCGGGUAAGUUCCGACCUGCACGAAUGGCGUAAUGAUGGCCAGGCUGUCUCCACCCGAGACUCAGUGAAAUUGAACUCGCUGUGAAGAUGCAGUGUACCCGCGGCAAGACGGAAAGACCCCGUGAACCUUUACUAUAGCUUGACACUGAACAUUGAGCCUUGAUGUGUAGGAUAGGUGGGAGGCUUUGAAGUGUGGACGCCAGUCUGCAUGGAGCCGACCUUGAAAUACCACCCUUUAAUGUUUGAUGUUCUAACGUUGACCCGUAAUCCGGGUUGCGGACAGUGUCUGGUGGGUAGUUUGACUGGGGCGGUCUCCUCCUAAAGAGUAACGGAGGAGCACGAAGGUUGGCUAAUCCUGGUCGGACAUCAGGAGGUUAGUGCAAUGGCAUAAGCCAGCUUGACUGCGAGCGUGACGGCGCGAGCAGGUGCGAAAGCAGGUCAUAGUGAUCCGGUGGUUCUGAAUGGAAGGGCCAUCGCUCAACGGAUAAAAGGUACUCCGGGGAUAACAGGCUGAUACCGCCCAAGAGUUCAUAUCGACGGCGGUGUUUGGCACCUCGAUGUCGGCUCAUCACAUCCUGGGGCUGAAGUAGGUCCCAAGGGUAUGGCUGUUCGCCAUUUAAAGUGGUACGCGAGCUGGGUUUAGAACGUCGUGAGACAGUUCGGUCCCUAUCUGCCGUGGGCGCUGGAGAACUGAGGGGGGCUGCUCCUAGUACGAGAGGACCGGAGUGGACGCAUCACUGGUGUUCGGGUUGUCAUGCCAAUGGCACUGCCCGGUAGCUAAAUGCGGAAGAGAUAAGUGCUGAAAGCAUCUAAGCACGAAACUUGCCCCGAGAUGAGUUCUCCCUGACUCCUUGA